RNAcentral lists this ribosomal RNA (301 nucleotides) under uncultured bacterium. RNAcentral describes it as "partial 16S ribosomal RNA". It matches the Rfam family "Bacterial small subunit ribosomal RNA", at positions 509 to 807 of the family's 1533-position model. The record is from RNAcentral.
CAGUAGCCGCGGUAAUACGGAGGGAGCUAGCGUUGUUCGGAAUCACUGGGCGUAAAGCGCACGUAGGCGGCUAUUCAAGUCAGGGGUGAAAGCCCGGGGCUCAACCCCGGAACUGCCUUUGAAACUAGAUAGCUUGAAUCUUGGAGAGGCGAGUGGAAUUCCGAGUGUAGAGGUGAAAUUCGUAGAUAUUCGGAAGAACACCAGUGGCGAAGGCGACUCGCUGGACAAGUAUUGACGCUGAGGUGCGAAAGCGUGGGGAGCAAACAGGAUUAGAUACCCCAGUAGUCCCUGUCUCUUAUAC